ACUGGAACUGAGACACGGUCCAGACUCCUACGGGAGGCAGCAGUGGGGAAUAUUGGACAAUGGGCGAAAGCCUGAUCCAGCCAUGCCGCGUGUGUGAAGAAGGUCUUCGGAUUGUAAAGCACUUUAAGUUGGGAGGAAGGGCAGUAAAUUAAUACUUUGCUGUUUUGACGUUACCGACAGAAUAAGCACCGGCUAACUCUGUGCCAGCAGCCGCGGUAAUACAGAGGGUGCAAGCGUUAAUCGGAAUUACUGGGCGUAAAGCGCGCGUAGGUGGUUCGUUAAGUUGGAUGUGAAAUCCCCGGGCUCAACCUGGGAACUGCAUUCAAAACUGACGAGCUAGAGUAUGGUAGAGGGUGGUGGAAUUUCCUGUGUAGCGGUGAAAUGCGUAGAUAUAGGAAGGAACACCAGUGGCGAAGGCGACCACCUGGACUGAUACUGACACUGAGGUGCGAAAGCGUGGGGAGCAACAGGAUUAGAUACCCUGGUAGUCCACGCCGUAAACGAUGUCAACUAGCCGUUGGGAGCCUUGAGCUCUUAGUGGCGCAGCUAACGCAUUAAGUUGACCGCCUGGGGAGUACGGCCGCAAGGUUAAAACUCAAAUGAAUUGACGGGGGCCCGCACAAGCGGUGGAGCAUGUGGUUUA
Molecule: ribosomal RNA, 643 nt
Filed under: Pseudomonas yamanorum
Lineage: Bacteria; Pseudomonadati; Pseudomonadota; Gammaproteobacteria; Pseudomonadales; Pseudomonadaceae
Description: bacterial SSU rRNA
Rfam family: Bacterial small subunit ribosomal RNA
Source: RNAcentral